This 117-nucleotide small RNA is filed under the name Marmota monax (woodchuck). The record is from RNAcentral. Lineage: Eukaryota; Metazoa; Chordata; Mammalia; Rodentia; Sciuridae.
GCUGGGUGCCAUGGUGCACGCCUGUAAUCCCAGCAGCUCAGGAGGCUGAGGCAGGAGGAUUACCCAGACUCAGCAAUUUAGCAAAGCCCUAAGCAACUCAGUGAGACCCUGUCUCUA